GACGUAGGGCGCGAGCGUUGUCCGGAUUGAUUGGGCGUAAAGAGCUCGUAGGCGGCUCGUUGCGUCGGCUGUGAAAACCCGCAGCUCAACUGUGGGCCUGCAGCUGAUACGGGCGGGCUGGAGUUCGGUAGGGGAGACUGGAAUUCCUGGUGUAGCGGUGAAAUGCGCAGAUAUCAGGAGGAACACCGGUGGCGAAGGCGGGUUUCUGGGCCGAUACUGACGCUGAGGAGCGAAAGCGUGGGGAGCGAACAGG
Molecule: ribosomal RNA, 253 nt
Filed under: uncultured bacterium
Lineage: Bacteria
Description: partial 16S ribosomal RNA
Rfam family: Bacterial small subunit ribosomal RNA
Source: RNAcentral